GGGUGAUUAGCUCAGCUGGGAGAGCACCUCCCUUAUGACUUUUAAUCAAUUGGUCGCAGGUUCGAAUCCUGCACGACCCACCA
This 83-nucleotide transfer RNA is filed under the name Citrobacter braakii. RNAcentral's name for it is "tRNA-Lys". It matches the Rfam family "tRNA". Rfam says of the family: Transfer RNA (tRNA) molecules are approximately 80 nucleotides in length. Their secondary structure includes four short double-helical elements and three loops (D, anti-codon, and T loops). Further hydrogen bonds mediate the characteristic L-shaped molecular structure. tRNAs have two regions of fundamental functional importance: the anti-codon, which is responsible for specific mRNA codon recognition, and the 3' end, to which the tRNAs corresponding amino acid is attached (by aminoacyl-tRNA synthetases). tRNAs cope with the degeneracy of the genetic code in two manners: having more than one tRNA (with a specific anti-codon) for a particular amino acid; and 'wobble' base-pairing, i.e. permitting non-standard base-pairing at the 3rd anti-codon position. The record is from RNAcentral. Lineage: Bacteria; Pseudomonadati; Pseudomonadota; Gammaproteobacteria; Enterobacterales; Enterobacteriaceae.